GAUGAACGCUGGCGGCGUGCCUAAUACAUGCAAGUCGAGCGAACAGACGAGGAGCUUGCUCCUCUGACGUUAGCGGCGGACGGGUGAGUAACACGUGGAUAACCUACCUAUAAGACUGGGAUAACUUCGGGAAACCGGAGCUAAUACCGCAUAAUAUAUUGAACCGCAUGGUUCAAUAGUGAAAGACGGUUUUGCUGUCACUUAUAGAUGGAUCCGCGCCGCAUUAGCUAGUUGGUAAGGUAACGGCUUACCAAGGCAACGAUGCGUAGCCGACCUGAGAGGGUGAUCGGCCACACUGGAACUGAGACACGGUCCAGACUCCUACGGGAGGCAGCAGUAGGGAAUCUUCCGCAAUGGGCGAAAGCUUGACGGAGCAACGCCGCGUGAGUGAUGAAGGUCUUCGGAUCGUAAAACUCUGUUAUUAGGGAAGAACAAAUGUGUAAGUAACUAUGCACGUCUUGACGGUACCUAAUCAGAAAGCCACGGCUAACUACGUG
RNAcentral lists this ribosomal RNA (497 nucleotides) under uncultured bacterium. RNAcentral's name for it is "partial 16S ribosomal RNA". It matches the Rfam family "Bacterial small subunit ribosomal RNA", at positions 28 to 507 of the family's 1533-position model. The record is from RNAcentral.